RNAcentral lists this ribosomal RNA (468 nucleotides) under uncultured bacterium. RNAcentral describes it as "partial 16S ribosomal RNA". It matches the Rfam family "Bacterial small subunit ribosomal RNA", at positions 28 to 507 of the family's 1533-position model. The record is from RNAcentral.
GACGAACGCUGGCGGCGUGCUUAACACAUGCAAGUCGAACGGAAAGGCCCUGCUUUUGUGGGGUUCUCGAGUGGCGAACGGGUGAGUAACACGUGAGUAACCUGCCCUUGACUUUGGGAUAACUUCAGGAAACUGGGGCUAAUACCGGAUAGGAGCUCCUGCUGCAUGGUGGGGGUUGGAAAGUUUCGGCGGUUGUGGAUGGACUCGCGGCUUAUCAGCUUGUUGGUGUGGUAGUGGCUUACCAAGGCUUUGACGGGUAGCCGGCCUGAGAGGGUGACCGGCGACAUGGGGACUGAGAGAGGGACCAGAAGCGUACGGGAGGCAGUAGGGGAGAAUAUGGCACAAUGGGGGGAAGCGUGAGGAAAAAACGCCGGGAGCGGGAUGACGGCCUUCGGGUUGUGAACCGCUUUGGCCUGUGACGAAGCGUUAGUGACGGUAAUGGGUAAAGAAGCACCGGCUAACUACGUG